GGCGAAGAGAAGCCGUCGGGAGCCGAUCCGCGAUCAGCCGGCAGGGCCGGCAGCGGCCGUGCAGCCCCCACCAAGGUCCGGCUCAGUGGCCGUAGGUGAGCGCUGGAGGCAUCCGCACCUUGAGCCUGGCACUGCUCUUGUGGUGGCCAGCAUAGGGACUGAUGAUCUCAGAAGCGUCUCUGAGUUUACCUCUCAGUUAGCUAACAAAGUGAGGAAACGUUGUCUCCGUGUCACAGGGCCGUAGACUUGGCCAGAAGGAACGUACAGAGGAAUCACUGCAAGCAAGAAGCUGUGCAAAAAUAAAGCAUUUUACAUCAUCUUCGGGGGUAAAGUCGCCCAAGUUGGUGGCAUCUGAUUUUUAUGCUGAUUUGUGCCCUGCAGCUGACUUCGGUUGAAUUGUUUGCGGUUCAACGAAUCCCUCCGGGACAACGGCAUGCCUGGAGUCAGACACAAAUGCCUUGGCAGGAACAAGGAAUGUAACCUGACCCAGUGCCACGGCCGCUCCUCCUCCUUCUCUCCCGCUGCUUCGGCCCUAUCCAUAUCACACUCUAUUUCACCAUACCCCAGUAGAGCAUCACUUUAAAAUUCUGAUAUGUAGGACCUGCAGACUGAGCCCCUGGAGCAUGAAUGGAGUUUUGUGCCUUGUUAAAGUAAUAAGUACAUGCAUCACUGUAAGUAACGGUAAAAAAGCAGAUAAUAUGACGUGUCUUUCCACUAACCUAUGUAACAGAUUAACUGAAAAUUUGGGUAUAUGAUUUGCCAGUGUUGCUCAGCAGAGAUUUGUUGAAAGUCCUGCAGGAACAACACAUGUGAAAUACGAAAUAACGAAGAAUAGUUUUUCCUAAUGCUGUAACAUUACUUCUUUCUAGCUGUAAAAGGAGAAAGUACAGGCAAAAUACUGAAUGGUACACACUUAGUUUCACUGGGGAAAAAAAGCCUUAGGUUCCUUGUCACAUGUGAUUCCCUCUCAAGAGGGAAAACAGAAUGGUAGAUUCCAGAGUCCUCCCAAAUAAGUCACUGGGUUAAAUGUGACUAGGCAGAUAGCCUGGCCCUGCCUAAGACUUUGGUUACCUUUUUUUUUUUUCCUGUUGUUGUGACCAGUUUAAGGUUUUAUUGAUCUUUUUGCCAAGUAUUUUGCCAGGUUAGUAAUAACUGGAUUAAUUCCCUCUGGCUCACCAAGCAGCCAAACAAAUGCUGGUGCCAGCAUGAGAGAGAGAGGUGGUGAGCAUGAGUGGUGAGGAAAGUCUGGCACUUGCCUUUUUUUUUUUUUCUCGACAUCACUACAGAUUUGUGCUGGCUUUGAAUAGCUGUCUAACCAUGACCUGCUUUUCUUCUUUACACUGUUUGACAUUGCAAAGGGUUUUCUGGAAAGAAAGGAGUUAAGUCACCCACAUGAUGCUUCAGGUAGCAGCUCACUAUGAGAAAAUAAAUUCAAGAUUUUGGUCACUACAGCUGAAAUGAGAGAUGAAGAUAAAGAGUAAUCACCCAAUGAAAGACACAUACUUCUGCCCCUACUCUCCAGUACAGUCACAGGCUUCCAGCCGCUGCCUCUGAAGCAGAUCGCCGAUGUUAAGGGUCGAGGUUGAUUGACCGCCCUUCUUUUUGGGAAGCGUCCGCUGAUAUCUUAACUCACCUUUGCCAUACUGCACUCUGGACCCAUACCGCAGUUCACAGAGCAAGCUGUGUGGAAAAUACUGGUAACACAAUUACUCUUUUGACCAUCGAGCUUGAGAUCUCUUACAGAGGGAAUACAGCAUUUUACAGCAAACACGUAAGCCAACAGCAAACAGACAGCUCCAGAUAUGGUUAGCCAUUUGUAUGCAAGUACAGCUGGCUGGGCUGUUCUGGGAUCUAGGACUUCACCAGUUCACGGAAGACUUGCGGUUGGAAGGCUUCUCUGGAGACCAGCUAGUCCGAUCUACUCCUAAAAGCAGGAUCCACUGGAGUAGGUUGCUCAGGCCUUUGUCCCGGUGACUUUUGAGGACCUUCAAGGAUAGAGGUUUUACUGGGCAACCCGUUCCCAUGCCUGACCAGUCUCACAAAUAAAGAAGUUAUUUAUUGGAUUUAAACAGCAUUUCAUGUAUUUCAGCUUGUGCCUUUUGCCUCCUUUCCUGUUACUGGUUACCACUGAGAAGCGCCCAGCUCAGUCUUUUUAAUUCCCUCACCAGGAAUUUAUCUAUACACAUUGCUAAAAUCCCCCCUUGGUCUGGUAUUCUCUGGACUUAACAACUCUGGUUAUCUCAGCCUCUCCUUCAGGCCCUUGAUCAUCUUGGUGGUGCUUUGCUGGAUGCUCCCUGGCAUGACAUGCACCUGUUGGAGAGGAGCCAGAGGAGGCCACAAAGAUGAUCAGAGGGACAAAACAUCUCUCCUAUAAGGACAUGCUGAGAGAGUUGGGGUCGUUCAGCCUGGAGAAGAGAAGGCUCUGGUGAGACCUUAUUGUGGCCUUUCAGUACUUAAAAGGGGCCUGUAAGAAAGAUGGGGACAGACUUUUCAGCAGGAUUUGUUGUGAUAUGACAAGGGAUAAUGGCUUUAAAUGAAAGGAAGGGGUAUUCAGGCUAGAUGUGAAGAAAAUUUUUUUUACAAUGAGGGUGGUGAAACACUGGAACAUGUUGCCCAUGAUGCAACAUGUAGAUGCCCCAUCCCUGGAGACAUUCAAGGCCAGGCUGGAGGGGCAAUGUGAUCUAGUUGAAGAUGUCCCUGCUCAUUGCAGGGGGUUGGAUUGGAUGAGCUUUGAAGGCCACUUCAAACCCAAACUAUUCUAUGAUUCUGUGAUUCUAUAAUUCUAUGAUCUGAGAGACAGCAGUAUUAAGAGACAAAAUCAAAGGGGCUGUAAAAGUUAUGUCAAGGUCCAGGGGUUUAUAAUUUACAUGUAAUUGGAUUUGCUACCAAAUGAGGAAGAUAAUAGUGAGACUGUUAUCACGAAGCAAAACUCCAGGACUUCUAAAGAACUUAAUGCAUUAUUUGCACUGUGAGCAACAGCGUCUGUUAUUAUUUAUUUGCACUGCAUUUCAUGUCCUGGCAAGACAGACAAAUAAAAAAGGGAAGGGUAGUAAUCAUAGAAUCAGAGCACAAAUAGAGCUGAGAGAGCAUGCUAGAGAUUAUAGGGGUGUUGAAUUUACCAGAACAACUGAAACAGCAGCUUACAAACACCACAAACGAAACAAUAAACU
Columba livia (rock pigeon) is the source of this 3170-nucleotide long non-coding RNA. RefSeq lists it as uncharacterized. The record is from RefSeq and is a predicted model, not a curated record. NCBI's taxonomy places the organism in Eukaryota, Metazoa, Chordata, Aves, Columbiformes, Columbidae. The transcript has 3 exons.